Long non-coding RNA from Achroia grisella, 253 nucleotides. RefSeq lists it as uncharacterized. The transcript is spliced from 3 exons. Lineage: Eukaryota; Metazoa; Arthropoda; Insecta; Lepidoptera; Pyralidae. The record is from RefSeq and is a predicted model, not a curated record.
GCGCCGGCGCACCUGCGCGCUUCCAACUCUCCACUCCGUACUCGAGUACUUUUGAAAGCGAGGUGUUGUGUUUUGUGAUUGCUCUCUUGUGUUCUGGAACUAUCUCUCUUUAUUCUCUUAAAGGGAUUCUUUUUGGAUUAGUUCCCUACUUUGUGACGGAUUUUCUGAACGCUUCCCGCGGUCUGAAGUGAGGUUACUUGACGAAUUAUGAACGUGAUUCAUCUUUCGCUUGUCCAGUAACUCAAACCAGGUA